GACGAACGCUGGCGGCGUGCUUAACACAUGCAAGUCGAACGGAAAGGCCCUGCUUUUGUGGGGUGCUCGAGUGGCGAACGGGUGAGUAACACGUGAGUAACCUGCCCCUGACUUUGGGAUAACUUCAGGAAACUGGGGCUAAUACCGGAUAGGAGCUCCUGCUGCAUGGUGGGGGUUGGAAAGUUUCGGCGGUUGGGGAUGGACUCGCGGCUUAUCAGCUUGUUGGUGGGGUAGUGGCUUACCAAGGCUUUGACGGGUAGCCGGCCUGAGAGGGUGACCGGCCACAUUGGGACUGAGAUACGGCCCAGACUCCUACGGGAGGCAGCAGUGGGGAAUAUUGCACAAUGGGCGGAAGCCUGAUGCAGCAACGCCGCGUGCGUGAUGACGGCCUUCGGGUUGUAAACCGCUUUCGCCUGUGACGAAGCGUGAGUGACGGUAAUGGGUAAAGAAGCACCGGCUAACUACGUG
This 468-nucleotide ribosomal RNA is filed under the name uncultured bacterium. RNAcentral describes it as "partial 16S ribosomal RNA". It matches the Rfam family "Bacterial small subunit ribosomal RNA", at positions 28 to 507 of the family's 1533-position model. The record is from RNAcentral.